This 215-nucleotide long non-coding RNA is filed under the name Ananas comosus (pineapple). Its description in RNAcentral is "long non-coding RNA (ACOM_LNC011163)". Lineage: Eukaryota; Viridiplantae; Streptophyta; Magnoliopsida; Poales; Bromeliaceae. The record is from RNAcentral.
UUUUUCAUUUUUUUUUUUUUUUGACAGAUAGGUAACACGUUACUCGCUUCGUUUAUUUUAUUUAGAAAUAAACUUAACUAAAAAUAUAAAUCAACUAGAAUUCGAAUUUGGAUUUCGGGUACCAACCAUUAAGUCCUUUGCCACUUGUUCUAGGGACGGUCGGUCCUUUUUUCAAUGUGUGCACCAAUGUGUCCUCUUUUUCAAAUUUUACCUCU